GACGAACCGUGCGAACGUUGUCCGGAAUCAUUGGGCGUAAAGAGCGUGUAGGCGGCCUGGUAAGUCCGCUGUGAAAGUCCAGGGCUCAACCCUGGAAUGCCGGUGGAAACUGUCAGGCUCGAGUCCGGAAGAGGCGAGUGGAAUUCCUGGUGUAGCGGUGAAAUGCGCAGAUAUCGGGAGGAACACCGGUGGCGAAGGCGGUUCUCUGGGCCUUACCUGACGCUGAGGAGCGAAAGCGUGGGGAGCGAACAGG
This 253-nucleotide ribosomal RNA is filed under the name uncultured bacterium. Its description in RNAcentral is "partial 16S ribosomal RNA". It matches the Rfam family "Bacterial small subunit ribosomal RNA", at positions 524 to 776 of the family's 1533-position model. The record is from RNAcentral.